This 37-nucleotide small RNA is filed under the name Arabidopsis thaliana (thale cress). RNAcentral describes it as "ATSL286320". Lineage: Eukaryota; Viridiplantae; Streptophyta; Magnoliopsida; Brassicales; Brassicaceae. The record is from RNAcentral.
UUUUUUUUUGGUUUUUGUUCUUCUUCCGGAUUCGAGU